GAUGAACGCUGACAGAAUGCUUAACACAUGCAAGUCUACUUGAUCCUUCGGGUGAUGGUGGCGGACGGGUGAGUAACGCGUAAAGAACUUGCCCUGCAGUCUGGGACAACAUUUAGAAACGAAUGCUAAUACCGGAUAUUAUGUGAGUUUCGCAUGAAAUUCAUAUGAAAGCUAUAUGCGCUGCAGGAGAGCUUUGCGUCCUAUUAGCUAGUUGGUGAGGUAACGGCUCACCAAGGCGAUGAUAGGUAGCCGGCCUGAGAGGGUGAACGGCCACAAGGGGACUGAGACACGGCCCUUACUCCCACGGGAGGCAGCAGUGGGGAAUAUUGGACAAUGGACCAAAAGUCUGAUCCAGCAAUUCUGUGUGCACGAUGAAGUUUUUCGGAAUGUAAAGUGCUUUCAGUUGGGACGAAGUAAGUGACGGUACCAACAGAAGAAGCGACGGCUAAAUACGUGCCAGCAGCCGCAGUAA
RNAcentral lists this ribosomal RNA (472 nucleotides) under uncultured bacterium. RNAcentral's name for it is "partial 16S ribosomal RNA". It matches the Rfam family "Bacterial small subunit ribosomal RNA", at positions 28 to 523 of the family's 1533-position model. The record is from RNAcentral.